UAGAAAACUGUACAUUUCUUGUCUAUUACCACCUACUGCAACUUAUACCAAUGACGGAAAUAAGCGCAGUUACAAUAGCAAAAUAUGUGGGAGAGCGUUGCUAUAGUGUGACAAUAUUGUAUUGCAAUAGGGAGCACAUUAAUGUUAAUACUAAAUCUAAACUAGCACAUCAUUUGUAAUUGAAAGGGUUUAAUGACAAUAUCUGAUUAUGGUUACACUUAAAAUAAUUACAAAAUAGAUGUAUGAGAUGAUAAAAUCAUAUACCGAUAAUCGUUCCCAGCAUGUAUGUAAAGAGUUACACUUAACAUAACUGAACUUUAUUGAACACUGGCACAGUGUCAAACCCUGCUUAGAGUCGUGGCUCCUCAGUAGCGACCUCACUAAAGGCAGGCAUACACUGUGCGAACUUUGCGCAAGAGUUAUGCCGAUGAAGACGUCUCAAUCCCUUGUCAAUUAUUCACCAGCCUUUACAAAAAAAAAAAAAAAAGUAAAACCGACGAGCUUUCGGUGCAUAUUCUCUCAGAGACAACGAGAGAUAAAUCCUACUUCAACCUGAUAACGUGUUUUUGCACCAUCUUUGUAACCUACAAAGUCUUGUUCUGAAAGAGCUGGUGAAACUGGUGAAGAGCUUCUUCUUUUCGUUCAGCACAUUGAGCUUCAGUUCACACGCCUCAUGACAUCAAACCCCAGAAACACCUUCUAUGAAGUCAAAGAGUUUCUCAAGAGCUCCAGAUGUUGGAUCAGGAUUUAUCCUGCAUCAGCAUAAAAAGAAAGAAAAAGAGGAAGUACAGAGGAACGUCACAUUGUCUGAGUUUCGAUAGUAUUUCAGCAAACUCAUGAUGAAUAAUGUGUUCAGUUCAGCUCCUCUGACUACAUAAUGUGUGUGUGUGUGUAAAUCUGCACAAGUGUCAUGUGACUGUGAGGGUUUUGCACU
Molecule: long non-coding RNA, 934 nt
Organism: Megalobrama amblycephala (Wuchang bream)
Lineage: Eukaryota; Metazoa; Chordata; Actinopteri; Cypriniformes; Xenocyprididae
Exons: 3
Source: RefSeq, a predicted model, not a curated record